GAUGAACGCUGGCGGCGUGCCUAAUACAUGCAAGUCGAGCGAACGGACGAGAAGCUUGCUUUUCUGAUGUUAGCGGCGGACGGGUGAUUAACACGUGGAUAACCUACCUAUAAGACUGGGAUAACUUCGGGAAACCGGAGCUAAUACCGGAUAAUAUUUUGAACCGCAUGGUUCAAAAGUGAAAGACGGUCUUGCUGUCACUUAUAGAUGGAUCCGCUCUGCAUUAGCUAGUUGGUAAGGUAACGGCUUACCAAGGCAACGAUGCAUAGCCGACCUGAGAGGGUGAUCGGCCACACUGGACCUGAGACACGGUCCCGACUCUACGGGAGGCAGCAGUAGGGAAUCUUCCGCAAUGGGCGAAAGCCUGACGGAGCAACGCCGCGUGAGUGAUGAAGGUCUUCGGAUCGUAAAACUCUGUUAUUAGGGAAGAACAUAUGUGUAAGUAACUGUGCACAUCUUGACGGUACCUAAUCAGAAAGCCACGGCUAACUACGUG
RNAcentral lists this ribosomal RNA (496 nucleotides) under uncultured bacterium. RNAcentral describes it as "partial 16S ribosomal RNA". It matches the Rfam family "Bacterial small subunit ribosomal RNA", at positions 28 to 507 of the family's 1533-position model. The record is from RNAcentral.